ACCUUUUGUAUAAUGGGUCAGCGAGUUACUUUCAGUGGCGAGGUUAACUGAAUAAGGGAGCCGUAGAGAAAUCGAGUCUGAAUAGGGCGAUAGUCGCUGGGAGUAGACCCGAAACCGGGCGAUCUAGCCAUGUGCAGGAUGAAGGUUGGGUAACACCAACUGGAGGUCCGAACCGGGUAAUGUUGAAAAAUUAUCGGAUGACGUGUGGCUAGGAGUGAAAGGCUAAUCAAGCCCGGAGAUAGCUGGUUCUCCCCGAAAGCUAUUUAGGUAGCGCCUCGUGAAUGAUUACUGGGGGUAGAGCACUGUUUCGGCUAGGGGGCUGUCAUGGCUUACCAAACCGAUGCAAACUCCGAAUACCGGCUAAUUGAAUCACGGGAGACACACGGCGGGUGCUAACGUCCGUCGUGGAGAGGGAAACAACCCAGACCGCCAGCUAAGGUCCCCAAGUACUAGUUAAGUGGGAAACGAUGUGGGAAGGCAUAGACAGCCAGGAGGUUGGCUUAGAAGCAGCCACCCUUUAAAGAAAGCGUAAUAGCUCACUGGUCGAGUCGGCCUGCGCGGAAGAUGUAACGGGGCUAAAACUAGUCACCGAAGCUGCGGAUGUGCGCGAAGGCGCACGUGGUAGGGGAGCGUUCUGUAGGCUGAUGAAGGUGCAUUGAGAAGUGUGCUGGAGGUAUCAGAAGUGCGAAUGCUGACAUGAGUAACGAUAAUGUGGGUGAAAAGCCCACACGCCGGAAGUCCCAGGUUUCCUGCACGACGUUAAUCGGAGCAGGGUGAGUCGGCCCCUAAGGCGAGGCUGAAGAGCGUAGUCGAUGGGAACCAGGUUAAUAUUCCUGGACUUUUUAUAAGUGGUGAAGUGGGGACGAAGAAGGCUAGGUGAGCCAGGCGUUGGUUGUCCUGGU
RNAcentral lists this ribosomal RNA (902 nucleotides) under Legionella pneumophila subsp. pneumophila. RNAcentral's name for it is "partial 23S ribosomal RNA". It matches the Rfam family "Bacterial large subunit ribosomal RNA", at positions 603 to 1511 of the family's 2925-position model. The record is from RNAcentral. Lineage: Bacteria; Pseudomonadati; Pseudomonadota; Gammaproteobacteria; Legionellales; Legionellaceae.